Molecule: ribosomal RNA, 253 nt
Filed under: uncultured bacterium
Lineage: Bacteria
Description: partial 16S ribosomal RNA
Rfam family: Bacterial small subunit ribosomal RNA
Source: RNAcentral
UACGAAGGGGGCUAGCGUUGCCCGGAAUCACUGGGCGUAAAGCGCACGUAGGCGGAUCGUUAAGUCAGGGGUGAAAUCCUGGAGCUCAACUCCAGAACUGCCUUUGAUACUGGCGACCUUGAGUUCGGGAGAGGUGAGUGGAACUGCGAGUGUAGAGGUGAAAUUCGUAGAUAUUCGCAAGAACACCAGUGGCGAAGGCGGCUCACUGGCCCGGUACUGACGCUGAGGUGCGAAAGCGUGGGGAGCAAACAGG